GAUUCUCAGGAUGAACGCUAGCUACAGGCUUAACACAUGCAAGUCGAGGGGCAGCAUGGUCUUAGCUUGCUAAGGCCGAUGGCGACCGGCGCACGGGUGAGUAACACGUAUCCAACCUGCCGUCUACUCUUGGACAGCCUUCUGAAAGGAAGAUUAAUACAAGAUGGCAUCAUGAGUCCGCAUGUUCACAUGAUUAAAGGUAUUCCGGUAGACGAUGGGGAUGCGUUCCAUUAGAUAGUAGGCGGGGUAACGGCCCACCUAGUCUUCGAUGGAUAGGGGUUCUGAGAGGAAGGUCCCCCACAUUGGAACUGAGACACGGUCCAAACUCCUACGGGAGGCAGCAGUGAGGAAUAUUGGUCAAUGGGCGAGAGCCUGAACCAGCCAAGUAGCGUGAGGAUGACUGCCCUAUGGGUUGUAAACUUCAAGCUAUAAAGGAAUAAAGUCGGGUAUGGAUACCCGUUUGCAUGUACUUUAUGAAUAAGGAUCGGCUAACUCCGUGCCAGCAGCCGCGGUAAUACGGAGGAUCCGAGCGUUAUCCGGAUUUAUUGGGUUUAAAGGGAGCGUAGAUGGAUGUUUAAGUCAGUUGUGAAAGUUUGCGGCUCAACCGUAAAAUUGCAGUUGAUACUGGAUAUCUUGAGUGCAGUUGAGGCAGGCGGAAUUCGUGGUGUAGCGGUGAAAUGCUUAGAUAUCACGAAGAACUCCGAUUGCGAAGGCAGCCUGCUAAGCUGCAACUGACAUUGAGGCUCGAAAGUGUGGGUAUCAAACAGGAUUAGAUACCCUGGUAGUCCACACGGUAAACGAUGAAUACUCGCUGUUUGCGAUAUACGGCAAGCGGCCAAGCGAAAGCGUUAAGUAUUCCACCUGGGGAGUACGCCGGCAACGGUGAAACUCAAAGGAAUUGACGGGGGCCCGCACAAGCGGAGGAACAUGUGGUUUAAUUCGAUGAUACGCGAGGAACCUUACCCGGGCUUCAAUUGCAGAUGAAUUACGGUGAAAGCCGUAAGCCGCAAGGCAUCUGUGAAGGUGCUGCAUGGUUGUCGUCAGCUCGUGCCGUGAGGUGUCGGCUUAAGUGCCAUAACGAGCGCAACCCUUGUUGUCAGUUACUAACAGGUUAUGCUGAGGACUCUGACAAGACUGCCAUCGUAAGAUGUGAGGAAGGUGGGGAUGACGUCAAAUCAGCACGGCCCUUACGUCCGGGGCUACACACGUGUUACAAUGGGCCACCGGGUACAGAGGGCCGCUACCACGCGAGUGGAUGCCAAUCCCCAAAACCUCUCUCAGUUCGGACUGGAGUCUGCAACCCGACUCCACGAAGCUGGAUUCGCUAGUAAUCGCGCAUCAGCCACGGCGCGGUGAAUACGUUCCCGGGCCUUGUACACACCGCCCGUCAAGCCAUGGGAGCCGGGGGUACCUGAAGUGCGUAACCGCGAGGAGCGCCCUAGGGUAAGCAUUGC
Molecule: ribosomal RNA, 1454 nt
Filed under: uncultured Bacteroides sp.
Lineage: Bacteria; Pseudomonadati; Bacteroidota; Bacteroidia; Bacteroidales; Bacteroidaceae
Description: bacterial SSU rRNA
Rfam family: Bacterial small subunit ribosomal RNA
Source: RNAcentral